UACGGGGGGUGCGAGCGUUGUCCGGAAUUACUGGGCGUAAAGGGCGCGUAGGCGGCCUGCUAAGUCGAACGUGAAAUCCCUGGGCUCAACCCAGGAACUGCGUCCGAUACUGGUUGGCUUGAAUCCGGGAGAGGGAUGUGGAAUUCCAGGUGUAGCGGUGAAAUGCGCAGAUAUCGGGAGGAACACCUAUGGCGAAGGCAGCUCGCUGGGACGUUACUGACGCUGAGACGCGAAAGCGUGGGGAGCAAACAGG
This 253-nucleotide ribosomal RNA is filed under the name uncultured bacterium. Its description in RNAcentral is "partial 16S ribosomal RNA". It matches the Rfam family "Bacterial small subunit ribosomal RNA", at positions 524 to 776 of the family's 1533-position model. The record is from RNAcentral.